Molecule: long non-coding RNA, 746 nt
Filed under: Equus caballus (horse)
Lineage: Eukaryota; Metazoa; Chordata; Mammalia; Perissodactyla; Equidae
Description: lncRNA (ENSECAG00000041690.2)
Source: RNAcentral
CCUGAACAAGAGCUGAGCUUCUGCUCAGACUCCUCCCUGGAGAGAAAAUCUCUGGGCUGCUGUGCAGCCAUUCUGUGACGAGGAUUCCAGCACCUCGCUUGGUGAGCUGAAGUCUGCUCAGGGGCACAUUUGGAUGGAGGACCCAGGAUUUGGAGAAAGCAGACUCCAGCCCAUCAAAGGCUAUGACCUGGGCUUAGACACAUCAGAGCCUCUGACCAACUCUACAGGCACCUAGAGCAGCAUGACAGAUUGUGCUUUGCUGGGAUGGCCUCUGUGUACCUCCCAUCCCACAGGCUCUUCUUACAGGACUGCAAAACUCCUCCCACUCACAGGCAGGUUUGUCACUCCCAUGCCGCCCAGGAAAGAAACUAAGGAUCCAGUUGAUCCCAGAGCUGGCAGCAUUCCCUUAACAGUGAUGUUUGGCUGGAUCAGUCUCAAGUUCUCUCUGAGUCCAGAGAAAAGAAAAAAGCUGUGAGAGUUUCCUCAAGUGUGAGGACUUUGUGCUGACAGCAGCCACUCGCUGCUGAGGAAGCUGAGGAACAGCAUGUGGCCCCACCCUUCUGGUGACACUUCACAGAGAACUGCCUUCUCAGAGGUCGCAGAGCUGGGCCACCUAGUAACACAGAAGAGCCCUUCAGAGGACAGGGAAGCUUUGGGGAGAUAGGAACAGGCUCCACAACAUCCAGGAGCAGGAAAGGACCCAGCACGUCAUCCCUGUGAGAGGAGACAUCCCCCAGCCAGACUAC